This 301-nucleotide ribosomal RNA is filed under the name uncultured bacterium. Its description in RNAcentral is "partial 16S ribosomal RNA". It matches the Rfam family "Bacterial small subunit ribosomal RNA", at positions 509 to 809 of the family's 1533-position model. The record is from RNAcentral.
CAGCCGCCACGGUAAUGCGUAGGGUGCGAGCGUUAAUCGGAAUUACUGGGCGUAAAGCGUGCGCAGGCGGUUUUGUAAGACAGGCGUGAAAUCCCCGGGCUCAACCUGGGAAUGGCGCUUGUGACUGCAAAGCUAGAGUGCGGCAGAGGGGGAUGGAAUUCCGCGUGUAGCAGUGAAAUGCGUAGAUAUGCGGAGGAACACCGAUGGCGAAGGCAAUCCCCUGGGCCUGCACUGACGCUCAUGCACGAAAGCGUGAGGAGCAAACAGGAUUAGAUACCCCUGUAGUCCCUGUCUCUUAUAA